This 480-nucleotide ribosomal RNA is filed under the name uncultured bacterium. RNAcentral's name for it is "partial 16S ribosomal RNA". It matches the Rfam family "Bacterial small subunit ribosomal RNA", at positions 28 to 523 of the family's 1533-position model. The record is from RNAcentral.
GACGAACGCUGGCGGCGUGCUUAACACAUGCAAGUCGAGCGAUGAAACACCUUCGGGUGCGGAUUAGCGGCGAACGGGUGAGGAACACGUGAGGAAUCUGCCUUCCACUCUGGGAUAACUCCGGGAAACCGGGGCUAAUACCGGAUACUUUCAACUGGCGGCAUCGCCGGUUGAAGGAAGUUUUUCGGUGGAAGAUGACCUCGCGGCCUAUCAGCUUGUUGGUGAGGUAAAGGCUCACCCAGGCGACGACGGGUAGCCGGCCUGAGAGGGCGACCGGCCACACUGGGACUGAGACACGGCCCAGACUCCUACGGGAGGCAGCAGUGGGGAAUAUUGGGCAAUGGAGGAGACUCUGACCCAGCGACGCCGCGUGAGGGAUGAAGGCCUUCGGGUUGUAAACCUCUUUCAGCAGGGAAUAAGCGAAAGUGAAGGUACCUGCAGAAGAAGCACCGGCUAACUAUGUGCCAGCCGCCGCGGUAA